AAGUAACAUAUUCAAUGAAAAAAAAUGGAGAUUUCAAGAAAUUCUUCUCUGCAAUUGGCAUUUUUGUUGGCAUUUUUAAUCAUUGUAUCAGAUAUGCAUAUGGAAUUGCAGGCCGUGAGAGUGACAGAGGAGUUAGACUCAAGCUGUAACACACCUCAAGAUUGUAUUAGGCAAAAAUUUCCAUGUCCAUCCCCACUUAUUGUCGUAUGUGUUGCCCACCAUUGUUCAUGUACACACCUUCAACCAACAUCAACCAAUAAAACUCCUAGUCCAAUACCUUCAAUUACAAACUGAAUAAUGGAUUAGUUGCUGUAUUUGGAUGAGAAUAAUACAUAAAGUCAUAAUAAGAAAGGGUGAGAUUGCUUCA
Vicia villosa (hairy vetch) is the source of this 367-nucleotide long non-coding RNA. RefSeq lists it as uncharacterized. NCBI's taxonomy places the organism in Eukaryota, Viridiplantae, Streptophyta, Magnoliopsida, Fabales, Fabaceae. The transcript is spliced from 2 exons. The record is from RefSeq and is a predicted model, not a curated record.